This 492-nucleotide ribosomal RNA is filed under the name uncultured bacterium. RNAcentral describes it as "partial 16S ribosomal RNA". It matches the Rfam family "Bacterial small subunit ribosomal RNA", at positions 29 to 507 of the family's 1533-position model. The record is from RNAcentral.
AGUGAACGCUGGCGGUAGGCCUAACACAUGCAAGUCGAACGGCAGCACAGUAAGAGCUUGCUCUUACGGGUGGCGAGUGGCGGACGGGUGAGGAAUACAUCGGAAUCUACUUUUUCGUGGGGGAUAACGUAGGGAAACUUACGCUAAUACCGCAUACGACCUACGGGUGAAAGCAGGGGAUCUUCGGACCUUGCGCGAUUGAAUGAGCCGAUGUCGGAUUAGCUAGUUGGCGGGGUAAAGGCCCACCAAGGCGACGAUCCGUAGCUGGUCUGAGAGGAUGGCCAGCCACACGGGAACUGAGACACGGUCCAGACUCCUACGGGAGGCAGCAGUGGGGACUAUUGGACAAUGGGCGCAAGCCUGAUCCAGCCAUACCGCGUGGGUGAAGAAGGCCUUCGGGUUGUAAAGCCCUUUUGUUGGGAAAGAAAAGCAGCAGGUUAACACCCCGAUGUUCUGACGGUACCCAAAGAAUAAGCACCGGCUAACUUCGUG